This 723-nucleotide ribosomal RNA is filed under the name Bacillus siamensis. RNAcentral describes it as "bacterial SSU rRNA". It matches the Rfam family "Bacterial small subunit ribosomal RNA", at positions 24 to 729 of the family's 1533-position model. The record is from RNAcentral. Lineage: Bacteria; Bacillati; Bacillota; Bacilli; Caryophanales; Bacillaceae.
UCAGGACGAACGCUGGCGGCGUGCCUAAUACAUGCAAGUCGAGCGGACAGAUGGGAGCUUGCUCCCUGAUGUUAGCGGCGGACGGGUGAGUAACACGUGGGUAACCUGCCUGUAAGACUGGGAUAACUCCGGGAAACCGGGGCUAAUACCGGAUGGUUGUUUGAACCGCAUGGUUCAGACAUAAAAGGUGGCUUCGGCUACCACUUACAGAUGGACCCGCGGCGCAUUAGCUAGUUGGUGAGGUAACGGCUCACCAAGGCGACGAUGCGUAGCCGACCUGAGAGGGUGAUCGGCCACACUGGGACUGAGACACGGCCCAGACUCCUACGGGAGGCAGCAGUAGGGAAUCUUCCGCAAUGGACGAAAGUCUGACGGAGCAACGCCGCGUGAGUGAUGAAGGUUUUCGGAUCGUAAAGCUCUGUUGUUAGGGAAGAACAAGUGCCGUUCAAAUAGGGCGGCACCUUGACGGUACCUAACCAGAAAGCCACGGCUAACUACGUGCCAGCAGCCGCGGUAAUACGUAGGUGGCAAGCGUUGUCCGGAAUUAUUGGGCGUAAAGGGCUCGCAGGCGGUUUCUUAAGUCUGAUGUGAAAGCCCCCGGCUCAACCGGGGAGGGUCAUUGGAAACUGGGGAACUUGAGUGCAGAAGAGGAGAGUGGAAUUCCACGUGUAGCGGUGAAAUGCGUAGAGAUGUGGAGGAACACCAGUGGCGAAGGCGACUCUC